This 497-nucleotide ribosomal RNA is filed under the name uncultured bacterium. RNAcentral describes it as "partial 16S ribosomal RNA". It matches the Rfam family "Bacterial small subunit ribosomal RNA", at positions 28 to 507 of the family's 1533-position model. The record is from RNAcentral.
GAUGAACGCUGGCGGCGUGCCUAAUACAUGCAAGUCGAGCGAACAGACGAGGAGCUUGCUCCUCUGACGUUAGCGGCGGACGGGUGAGUAAAACGUGGAUAACCUACCUAUAAGACUGGGAUAACUUCGGGAAACCGGAACUAAUACCGGAUAAUAUAUUGAACCGCAUGGUUCAAUAGUGAAAGACGGUUUUGCUGUCACUUAUAGAUGGAUCCGCGCCGCAUUAGCUAGUUGGUAAGGUAACGGCUUACCAAGGCAACGAUGCGUAGCCGACCUGAGAGGGUGAUCGGCCACACUGGAACUGAGACACGGUCCAGACUCCUACGGGAGGCAGCAGUAGGGAAUCUUCCGCAAUGGGCGAAAGCCUGACGGAGCAACGCCGCGUGAGUGAUGAAGGUCUUCGGAUCGUAAAACUCUGUUAUUAGGGAAGAACAAAUGUGUAAGUAACUAUGCACGUCUUGACGGUACCUAAUCAGAAAGCCACGGCUAACUACGUG